AUGAGAGUAAUUACCCCCACGAACCUAUUUUGUUGCAUAACACACCUCAAUUUCUGAUUUAUUUUCUUCCUCCUUCAGCACUGAUUUGGAGUAUGCUACUUACCAUUGGCUUCAGCAAUACCGACUUUCAACCUGCAUUGAUGGUGUCUGCAUGUGAGGAAUGAGCAUCACCUAGGAAUCCUGGAUUUUGAACAUUUUCAAAUUAAUUGAUUACUUUUGCGUUUAAUUCCUGGCUUAAUGACUGUGUGUUCCCACAGGAUCAAAUACCAUCAUCCAGAGUUAAACUUAGGAGGGAUGAAGUCAGGAUCAGAGUCAUUUUGUUCCUGUUUGUAGUCCUGUUGCCUGGGACAGGAGUUACACUCAAGAAGUGUUUUCUUCGAAUGAAUCAACUGAGAUAAGGUGGGUAGGCAGCACCAGUUGUACAUUCAACUAAAGCAGGUGAUAUUUAACGUUUUAUGGACAAAGUCUUUAUUAGCUGUAAG
RNAcentral lists this long non-coding RNA (482 nucleotides) under Vulpes vulpes (red fox). Its description in RNAcentral is "lncRNA (ENSVVUG00000014046.1)". Lineage: Eukaryota; Metazoa; Chordata; Mammalia; Carnivora; Canidae. The record is from RNAcentral.